Long non-coding RNA from Oncorhynchus kisutch (coho salmon), 6552 nucleotides. RefSeq lists it as uncharacterized. The transcript has 3 exons. Lineage: Eukaryota; Metazoa; Chordata; Actinopteri; Salmoniformes; Salmonidae. The record is from RefSeq and is a predicted model, not a curated record.
AUAGCGCAUGCACCAGUCAUUAAAUAUGACGCAUUUUUGGAGUUCAUCUAAAUGGUGUAAUUUUUACAUUAAAAUCUGAUCAAACUUCUCUAGUUUUAAUUGUUUUGUUAGAAAUGUUACUUUAUCUAUUCCCAAGUGAUUUAUUCAAAGAUUCAUGUCCAGGAGUAAGCGUCAGCGCAUCACCGCUCAGUUGGCACAAGGGCAAGUCUCCAGUGAGUGGGUGAGAGCGCUCUUGAGUGGGCGAGCAAGAAAGAGUAGAAGAGAGGGUGGGGGGAGGCAGAGAGGUACCGAAGAUUCUGACGUUCUCUGUUGCACAAAACCGCACUGCUUGCUCUGACUGCACUGUCCAUGCUGCUGUAUCCUAGACUGUCUGCUUGAGACGGAGUCCGUUUACUCCACUCUACACCCGACUCUUCUGUCUUUGGCGCAUCCUUUUAGUUUCUCUUUAAAACCUUUGAUCGACUGAAGUGUUUUUCCAAGGAAAGAGACCGUUGAAACUGCCAGUAUAACCGGUUAUAAAAACGUGAAGAAGUCACUUGUUUGAAUAACUCUCUCCCCACUGCACGUACUCAACAUGAGCGAGCUCAGAUCCACUGGGAACCCCAACAGCAGCCAGGCGCCUGCUUCAGACAACAAAGAGAAGGCGGUUGACUCCAAGGCCCCAGCGACUGGGGAGGAGGAAGAGGAAGUGGACAUCGACUUGGAAGCGCCAGAGACGGAGAAAGCAGCACUCGCCAUCCAGAACCAGUUCAGACGCUUCAAGAAGAACAAGAAGUAGUGACAGAAGGAGAAGAAAGAAAGACAAAAAAGAAGAAAAAAAAGAAAAAAAUCUGCAGAACAGAUAAAUAGUGAUGGAGGAGGACGGGUGGUGUGAGGGUGGAGACGUUGAGGAAGAGGGGAGAUGAAGUUAGGAAUUGUGUCAUCGCAAAUUAUAAAACCAACCAAUAUCUUCACUGUGAGAGAGGGAGAGGGGAGGAGAGGACAAGAAAGGAGAGGGAAGGAGAGGAGAAGAGACCAGAGGGGAAGGAGAGGAGAAGAGACCAGAGGGGAAGGGAGGAUAAGAGAGGAGAGGGAAGGAGAGGAGAGGGGAAGAGAGGAGAAGAGAGGAGAGGGGAAGAGAGGAGAAGAGAGGAGAGGAGAGGAGAAGAAAGGAGAGGAGAAGAAAGGAGAGGAGAAGAGAGAAUAUGUUAAAACAUAAUUUAUAAUCUGGCAUGACCAAUAACCCCAGUCACCACCACCUUUGCAGAUAUCCUGAUGAAUCCCCCUGCACCCUCCCUCCCAAACGCACCCCGUCCCACCACUCCCACUGCACAGCCGCAUAUCCCCAUGCCCCCCAACCCCCAAGAGAGAGGAAAACUGUUCCCCUUGAAAACAGAGAACAAAGUCCUCUGACCGAACAAACACAACUGGCUGCCACACACAACAUGUAAAAAACACAUACUAUAUUUCCAGCUCUCUUUCAUUCAUUUAACAUCUCUCUCUCUCUCUCUCUCUCUGUGUGUGUGCGUGCAUGUGUGUGUGUGUGUGUUUUCGUGGUACCCUCAAUAUGAAAGGCAGAGUUACUAGCUCAUGUUUUAGGCAGCUGUAAGUAGUUUUAAAGGGCUCUGUAUCUCUCUUCCUUUCUUUUCCAUUCUUUUUCCGAUGUAGGCCAGACAUCCGAUCACUGGACUCAGUGGCUCUGACCUCAUGAGAGGACGCGCUGAGAUGAUGGACAGACGGACAGGAAACUCAGUUGUACUUACGUAACCAUUAGAAACUCCACAGAGUACAUACAGAGUACAUAGGAGCCUUUUUCCAUCCAACAUCCAGUUACUGACGCUUUCAUUGGCUCAUCAAAAACAAUAUCAAUAUCAGUCAAGAGAUGGUCAGAUAACCCUCCAGGAAAGAGAGUAUAAGGUUAACCCGCUGAUAGAUAACUAUCCGGUGUGUUCGGAAUACCUGAGCCAGUCUGUCCCUUUAGGGAAAUAUUUUUGGAAAGGUCUUGGUCAACUGGUUGUAGCUGAAUGUUGUAUUCUUGUGGGUCAGCCUAGCAGUGGUGUAGAGUUCUUUCUGCUGUAACCUGAGACCCUCAGGCCCUUAAAUAAACACUUGAUAACAUCUCUGGACCAAGUGUCAGCACCGACAUAUGACCUGAUCUAAAACCCCUCAGUUUACACAGAGACAGACAGACUGGCAGAGGGGGUGUGAGAGAUGGAAAGAGAAAGAAAGAGAGAGAGAGGGAGAGAGAGAGAUAAUGAGGUGAGAGAAAGGAAUGAGGAGCGAGAGGUAAAAGAGUUGCAUACUAACGCCCCCACAACACAGUAACACAGCACCCAUAUAUAAAAAUAGCAAUUAUAUGCCCAAUCCGGAGCACACAAUCGCAAAAAAAACGACAAAAUGUUGACUGCACUUGACAGUGAAAAAGUCUGCACAAACAAACACACACACAUGCACACGGACACACACAUAUUUCCUACGCACAGAACUAAUCAUUCUGCCUGUUUGGACAAUGAUUAAACCCACUCCCACUUUCCAUCCCCUCCCCUCGUAUGUAGCACACAGGACUGCUCCUGAAAGCCCAGACCUCUGUACUCCUUACGCUUUAAUCUCCCUACUGAUUCAUAGUAUUAUUAUUGGAAUGUAACCUCUUUUCUAUUUCAAGGACAGAGCAGAUUAAGACAAAACGAGCACAAGCAAUAUCAUUCCGCCCCUCCUCUCUCCUCCCUCCUAAGCCUUUUCUCAUUUACCCUUAUCUUGGACUAUUUCUUACAUAUGGAUUUUUUACUUAAGACUUUUUCUAAGAGCCCCUUGUCAGUCGGAGCUCACUCAGAACAGGAAUGCAUAUCUGGGAUCAGCUUGGCCUUUUAGAUCAUAAUGAAUCUGAUCUGUAUGGACAUGGAGAGGACCUGAUCUGAGAUCAGCACUCCAACUCUGAGACGCUUGAUAACUAUGGUCCCAGAGCUAGUUAGUUAGUUCUAUUGAAUCAGAGAUGGCCCCAUUUAAAACCUGGGUUGUAGUCAUCUUAGUUCUUUGUUAACCGGACCCUUUUCCACUUCUUCCCCUAAAGGCAACCAAAUAUUGUAGGAUUAUCAAGAACAUAGUGCUACUGUGACUAAAUGGAUGAUGUGAUGAAAGCCUGUCUUGGUGAUUGUGUUUCUGAAUGGAAUUAAUGAUGGAUUCUAGAUAGGGUAUAUAGAGUGGGUCUGAGAUGUCUUCAAGACAUGCUCCGGAACUUUGGCGACUACUAAGUGUUUUUUAGUUUUUUUUACCUCGCGCUUUGGGCUGGAUGUGUCAAUGUGUAGUUUAUACAUGCAUAAUCUAUGAGCAGAAUUACUGUUUUACCUCAAUUAGCCACAAAGUCCCUAGUUUGUUUGGAAGCUGUGGUGCGCCAUUUUCUCUACAUUUUCCCCCAAUUGGGCCAGCCCUCUAGCAAUUCACAUUCUAGCCAACGAACUUCAGCCCCUCACCAUUUGAGUGACAGCUAGCAAGAUGCACACACAGCAGAACGAGAGAAAGAGCAAUGACGUGGUGCACAUAUCUGCACAUAUGUGACAUACUACACCAUUUUAGGGGACCACUUUUGACUCGUGAGCGCUACUUUCAGAAAGACUGACUAAAAAGUAUACAAAAGUACCGGAGAAUCUCUUUAAGUAAACAAUUCUGCUCUCCUCCAAAACCCUAGUGACCUAAUUCUUGACAAGAGCUAUAGACCCUUAUAGCAAAAUAGCACAUCCCGUAAACAAUGUGUGUCCCAAUAUCCAUACUAGAACACAGGAGGCUGCUGAGUGGAGGUCGGCUCAUAAUAAUGGCUGGAACGGCGCAAAUGGAAUUGCAAACACAUGGAAACCAUGUGGAAACCAUGUGGAAACUAUGAGGAAACCAUGUGGAAACCAUGAGGAAACCAUGAGGAAACCACGUGGAAACCACGUGGAAACCAUGAGGAAACCAUGUGGAAACCAUGAGGAAACCACGUGGAAACCAUGUGGAAACCACGAGGAAACCAUGUGGAAACCAUGAGGAAACCAUGUGGAAACCACGUGGAAACCAUGAGGAAACCAUGAGGAAACCACGUGGAAACCAUGUGGAAACCAUGUGGAAACCAUGAGGAAACCAUGUGGAAACCAUGAGGAAACCAUGAGGAAACCAUGUGGAAACCAUGUGGAAACCAUGUGGAAACCAUGAGGAAACCAUGUGGAAACCAUGAGGAAACCAUGAGGAAACCAUGUGGAAACCAUGUGUUUGAUGUAUUUGAUACCAUUCCACUAAUUCCGCUCCAGUCGUUCCCCAAUUAAGGGGCCACCAACCUCCUGUGAACAUAGUUUUAAGUAUGCUUGGCCAAUAUAUUACUGCACAGCACAAGUAGUGUCCUGUUUAGGGGGUGUACUUGCACAUGAAGCUGCCUCAUGCUACAGAAACAGGAGAUAUGCUCCUGCCUUAUGGGCUGUUCUGGCUUGGACAAGGCUUACUUACGAUAUACUAAGGAGGUAGCAGUAGAAGUAUGCUAGUAACAUGGAUUUUUGGAUAUACACAAAAAUACAACUUGGAUUUAACAUUAGACCCAUACAUACUUAUCUCACCGAAGACUGUUCAUCCAACCCCUAUAUGACUGUAAGUCACAUGUUCUAGUUGCCUAUAUGUCCUUACUGUCGGUGUACUCUGUAGUGACUUAAAGCAAUAGUAGACUAACCCAGUUUAGUAAGGAGACCAUCCUAAAGUGAAACCUCACCAAUCAUUUCAAGGAAUCUGCGUAUCAAAUGACUCCCCGUUCCCUAGACAGUGCAUUUCAGUACAUAGUGCACUAUCAAGGGAAUAGUAUGGUCAGAAGAAGUGCACUAUGUAGGGAAUAGUAUGGUCAGGAAGAAGUGCACUAUGUAGGGAAUAGGGUGUCAUUUCAGAUUUACUCCCCCAAGCAAACUCUCUGUUUGUGGUUAGGAUUAAUCAAAACAUUAUAUUGUCUAUAUUUAAUUAUUGAAUUAAUAUAUUAUUGAUGUGUUAUUUAUUGAUGAUGUUUAAGUUCUGUCUGUUGGUUUAUUUAUGUUUAUAACUACCUACCUACCUACGGUACCUAUACCCUUCUGUUUGGUUUAUUUAUGUUGAUAACUACCUACCUACGGUACCUAUACCCUUCUGUUUGGUUUAUUUAUGUUGAUAACUACCUACCUACGGUACCUAUACCCUUCUGUUUGGUUUAUUUAUGUUGAUAACUACCUACCUACGGUACCUAUACCCUUCUGUUUGGUUUAUUUAUGUUUAUAACUACCUACCUACGGUACCUAUACCCUUCUGUUUGGUUUAUUUAUGUUGAUAACUACCUACCUUACCUACGGUACCUAUACCCUUCUGUUUGGUUUAUUUAUGUUUAUAACUACCUACCUACCUACGGUACCUAUACCCUUCUGUUUGGUUUAUUUAUGUUGAUAACUACCUACCUACGGUACCUAUACCCUUCUGUUUGGUUUAUUUAUGUUUAUAACUACCUACCUACCUACGGUACCUAUACCCUUCUGUUUGGUUUAUUUAUGUUGAUAACUACCUACCUACGGUACCUAUACCCUUCUGUUUGGUUUAUUUAUGUUUAUAACUACCUACCUUACCUACGGUACCUAUACCCUUCUGUUUGGUUUAUUUAUGUUUAUAACUACCUACCUACCUACGGUACCUAUACCCUUCUGUUUGGUUUAUUUAUGUUGAUAACUACCUACCUACGGUACCUAUACCCUUCUGUUUGGUUUAUUUAUGUUGAUAACUACCUACCUACGGUACCUAUACCCUUCUGUUUGGUUUAUUUAUGUUUAUAACUACCUACCUACGGUACCUAUACCCUUCUGUUUGGUUUAUUUAUGUUGAUAACUACCUACCUUACCUACGGUACCUAUACCCUUCUGUUUGGUUUAUUUAUGUUGAUAACUACCUACCUACGGUACCUAUACCCUUCUGUUUGGUUUAUUUAUGUUGAUAACUACCUACCUACGGUACCUAUACCCUUCUGUUUGGUUUAUUUAUGUUGAUAACUACCUACCUACGGUACCUAUACCCUUCUGUUUGGUUUAUUUAUGUUUAUAACUACCUACCUACCUACGGUACCUAUACCCUUCUGUUUGGUUUAUUUAUGUUGAUAACUACCUACCUACGGUACCUAUACCCUUCUGUUUGGUUUAUUUAUGUUUAUAACUACCUACCUACCUACGGUACCUAUACCCUUCUGUUUGGUUUAUUUAUGUUGAUAACUACCUACCUACGGUACCUAUACCCGUCUGUUUGGUUUAUUUAUGUUGAUAACUACCUACCUACGGUACCUAUACCCUUCUGUUUGGUUUAUUUGGAGUAUUUCAACUUGAGGUCGCAUGUGAUGAGAUACAUUUUCUGUUGUUGUUUUGUUGCUAAUAUUCCCCAUUCUGUGUUUUGGCGUUUCAAACUACCAGGGGUGUGGGAGGUAUAGUAUAUAUACAUAUAUUAUAUAGAGAUGGUGUUUGCAGUGAGAAUGCACAUGAAACAUCCCUGUACUGUACACCCUUGUACUGUGUUUUUCUGCACUAAUAAAAUUUGCUGCAAAUUGCCUAAGAGCUCAACGGA